GAUGAACGCUGGCGGCGUGCUUAACACAUGCAAGUCGAACGAUGAAGCCCAGCUUGCUGGGUGGAUUAGUGGCGAACGGGUGAGUAACACGUGAGUAACCUGCCCUUAACUCUGGGAUAAGCCUGGGAAACUGGGUCUAAUACCGGAGAGGAGCGUCCACCGCAUGGGGGGUGUUGGAAAGAUUUAUCGGUUUUGGAUGGACUCGCGGCCUAUCAGCUUGUUGGUGAGGUAAUGGCUCACCAAGGCGACGACGGGUAGCCGGCCUGAGAGGGUGACCGGCCACACUGGGACUGAGACACGGCCCAGACUCCUACGGGAGGCAGCAGUGGGGAAUAUUGCACAAUGGGCGCAAGCCUGAUGCAGCGACGCCGCGUGAGGGAUGACGGCCUUCGGGUUGUAAACCUCUUUCAGUAGGGAAGAAGCGAAAGUGACGGUACCUGCAGAAGAAGCACCGGCUAACUACGUG
Molecule: ribosomal RNA, 466 nt
Filed under: uncultured bacterium
Lineage: Bacteria
Description: partial 16S ribosomal RNA
Rfam family: Bacterial small subunit ribosomal RNA
Source: RNAcentral